RNAcentral lists this transfer RNA (72 nucleotides) under Camelus bactrianus (Bactrian camel). It matches the Rfam family "tRNA". Rfam says of the family: Transfer RNA (tRNA) molecules are approximately 80 nucleotides in length. Their secondary structure includes four short double-helical elements and three loops (D, anti-codon, and T loops). Further hydrogen bonds mediate the characteristic L-shaped molecular structure. tRNAs have two regions of fundamental functional importance: the anti-codon, which is responsible for specific mRNA codon recognition, and the 3' end, to which the tRNAs corresponding amino acid is attached (by aminoacyl-tRNA synthetases). tRNAs cope with the degeneracy of the genetic code in two manners: having more than one tRNA (with a specific anti-codon) for a particular amino acid; and 'wobble' base-pairing, i.e. permitting non-standard base-pairing at the 3rd anti-codon position. RNAcentral also lists the same sequence under 2 other names. The record is from Rfam by way of RNAcentral. Lineage: Eukaryota; Metazoa; Chordata; Mammalia; Artiodactyla; Camelidae.
GAGGGUAUAGCUCAGUGGUAGAGUGCAUGCCUAGCAUGCAUGAGGUCCUGGGUUCAAUCCCCAGUACCUCCA